CCCUGGUAGUCCACGCAGUAAACGAUGAAUGCUAGUUGUCCGGGGCGAUUGAGUUCUGGGUGACACAGCGAAAGCGUUAAGCAUUCCACCUGGGGAGUACGCCGGCAACGGUGAAACUCAAAGGAAUUGACGGGGGCCCGCACAAGCGGAGGAACAUGUGGUUUAAUUCGAUGAUACGCGAGGAACCUUACCCGGGCUCAAACGCAGGAGGGAUGUUUUUGAAAGGAGGC
RNAcentral lists this ribosomal RNA (230 nucleotides) under uncultured bacterium. RNAcentral's name for it is "partial 16S ribosomal RNA". It matches the Rfam family "Bacterial small subunit ribosomal RNA", at positions 785 to 1012 of the family's 1533-position model. The record is from RNAcentral.